AUGAACGCUGGCGGCGUGCCUCAUCCAUGCAAGUCGAGCGAACAGACGAGGAGCUUGCUCCUCUGACGUUAGCGGCGGACGGGUGAGUAACACGUGGAUAACCUACCUAUAAGACUGGGAUAACUUCGGGAAACCGGAGCUAAUACCGGAUAAUAUAUUGAACCGCAUGGUUCGAUAGUGAAAGACGGUUUUGCUGUCACUUAUAGAUGGAUCCGCGCCGCAUUAGCUAGUUGGUAAGGUAACGGCUUACCAAGGCGACGAUGCGUAGCCGACCUGAGAGGGUGAUCGGCCACACUGGAACUGAGACACGGUCCAGACUCCUACGGGAGGCAGCAGUAGGGAAUCUUCCGCAAUGGGCGAAAGCCUGACGGAGCAACGCCGCGUGAGUGAUGAAGGUCUUCGGAUCGUAAAACUCUGUUAUUAGGGAAGAACAAAUGUGUAAGUAACUAUGCACGUCUUGACGGUACCUAAUCAGAAAGCCACGGCUAACUACGUG
Molecule: ribosomal RNA, 496 nt
Filed under: uncultured bacterium
Lineage: Bacteria
Description: partial 16S ribosomal RNA
Rfam family: Bacterial small subunit ribosomal RNA
Source: RNAcentral